UGGGCGUAAGGGUGUGUAGGCGGUUCUUUAAGUUUGGUGUGAAAUCUCCCGGCUCAACCGGGAGGGUGCGCCGAAAACUGGGGGACUGGAGUGCGGGAUGGGAGAGUAGAAUUCCUGGUGUAGCGGUGAAAUGCGUAGAUAUCAGGAGGAAUACCGGUGGUGUAGACGGCUCUCUGGACCGCCACUGACGCUGAGACACGAAAGCGUGGGUAGCAAACAGGAUUAGAUACCCUGGUAGUCCACGCCCUAAACGAUGCAUAUUUGGUGUAGGUCAUUCAGUUGAUCUGUGCCGGAGCUAACGCGUUAAAUAUGCCGCCUGGGGAGUACAGUCGCAAGGCUGAAACUCAAAGGAAUUGACGGGGGCCCGCACAAGCGGUGGAGCAUGUGGUUCAAUUCGACGCAACGCGAAGAACCUUACCUGGGCUCGAACGGCUGGUCAACGGCGGUGGAAACAUCGCUACUCCGCAAGGGGGUCCAGUCGAGGUGCUGCAUGGCUGUCGUCAGCUCGUGUCGUGAGAUGUUGGGUUAAGUCCCGCAACGAGCGCAACCCUUGUCCUGUGUUGCCAGUCCGCAAGGAGGGACUCGCAGGAGACCGCCAGCGAUAAGCUGGAGGAAGGUGGGGAUGACGUCAAGUCCUCAUGGCCUUUAUGUCCAGGGCUACACACGUGCUACAAU
RNAcentral lists this ribosomal RNA (675 nucleotides) under uncultured bacterium. Its description in RNAcentral is "bacterial SSU rRNA". It matches the Rfam family "Bacterial small subunit ribosomal RNA", at positions 555 to 1231 of the family's 1533-position model. The record is from RNAcentral.